GACGAACGCUGGCGGCGUGCCUAAUACAUGCAAGUCGAGCGAAUUUACGAGAGCUUGCUCUCGUAAAUUAGCGGCGGACGGGUGAGUAACACGUGGGCAACCUGCCUAUAAGACUGGGAUAACUUCGGGAAACCGGAGCUAAUACCGGAUAAUUCACAUCUACUCAUGUAGCUGUCCUGAAAGACGGUUUCGGCUGUCACCUAUAGAUGGGCCCGCGGCGCAUUAGCUAGUUGGUGAGGUAACGGCUCACCAAGGCCACGAUGCGUAGCCGACCUGAGAGGGUGAUCGGCCACACUGGGACUGAGACACGGCCCAGACUCCUACGGGAGGCAGCAGUAGGGAAUCUUCCGCAAUGGACGAAAGUCUGACGGAGCAACGCCGCGUGAGUGAUGAAGGUUUUCGGAUCGUAAAACUCUGUUGUUAGGGAAGAACAAGUACCAGAGUAACUGCUGGUACCUUGACGGUACCUAACCAGAAAGCCACGGCUAACUACGUGCCAGCCGCCGCGGUAA
Molecule: ribosomal RNA, 512 nt
Filed under: uncultured bacterium
Lineage: Bacteria
Description: partial 16S ribosomal RNA
Rfam family: Bacterial small subunit ribosomal RNA
Source: RNAcentral